CCGCGGUAAUACGGAGGGUGCAAGCGUUAUCCGGAUUCACUGGGUUUAAAGGGUGUGUAGGCGGGCAGGUAAGUCAGUGGUGAAAUCUCCGAGCUUAACUCGGAAACUGCCAUUGAUACUAUUUGUCUUGAAUACUGUUGAGGUGGGCGGAAUAUGUCAUGUAGCGGUGAAAUGCAUAGAUAUGACAUAGAACACCAAUUGCGAAGGCAGCUCACUAAACAGCGAUUGACGCUGAGGCACGAAAGCGUGGGGAUCAAACAG
This 261-nucleotide ribosomal RNA is filed under the name uncultured bacterium. RNAcentral's name for it is "partial 16S ribosomal RNA". It matches the Rfam family "Bacterial small subunit ribosomal RNA", at positions 515 to 775 of the family's 1533-position model. The record is from RNAcentral.